GCAGAGCAUCCUACGGGAGGCAGCAGUGGGGAAUAUUGCACAAUGGGCGCAAGCCUGAUGCAGCCAUGCCGCGUGUAUGAAGAAGGCCUUCGGGUUGUAAAGUACUUUCAGCAGUGAGGAAGGUGGGUAUGUUAAUAGCAUAUUCAUUUGACGUUAGCUGCAGAAGAAGCACCGGCUAACUCCGUGCCAGCAGCCGCGGUAAUACGGAGGGUGCGAGCGUUAAUCGGAAUUACUGGGCGUAAAGCGCAUGCAGGUGGUUUGUUAAGUCAGAUGUGAAAGCCCGGGGCUCAACCUCGGAAUUGCAUUUGAAACUGGCAAACUAGAGUACUGUAGAGGGGGUAGAAUUUCAGGUGUAGCGGUGAAAAUGCGUAGAGAUCUGAAGGAAUACCGGUGGCGAAGGCGGCCCCCUGGACAGAUACUGACACUCAGAUGCGAAAGCGUGGGGAGCAAACAGGAUUAGAACCCUGGUAG
Molecule: ribosomal RNA, 471 nt
Filed under: uncultured bacterium
Lineage: Bacteria
Description: bacterial SSU rRNA
Rfam family: Bacterial small subunit ribosomal RNA
Source: RNAcentral